RNAcentral lists this long non-coding RNA (4628 nucleotides) under Hordeum vulgare. Its description in RNAcentral is "long non-coding RNA (HVUL_LNC017525)". The record is from RNAcentral. Lineage: Eukaryota; Viridiplantae; Streptophyta; Magnoliopsida; Poales; Poaceae.
AUCGGAAUCACCGUUUAUAUGUUUUCAUACUACAUAAUUGUUUUUAUUGCAAAUGUUUACAUUCUUUCUGAUACGGUUGGUCAAAGUUUAUAAAGUAGAUGAAAUAUCCGGUUAACUUGCAUAUUAAUCCUUACUCGUGGCCUAGUAGGGGCAUUGAGUAGUCGAUAAAAUAAUUAAUCAUUUGAUUAAUUGAUUAACUCGCCAAUUAUCUUGUCGGUUAGCCUAUUAUUCCUUUACUCGCCAGCCAACCAAGCAUCUCCCGGUUAAUAUUUUCCUUAACAUGUAGAAAACACACGGUGUGUUAUUGUGAGUAAACUGGGCCAUGACACACAUGUUGGGUGCGAUGGUACAAGUGUUGCCCCAUUGAAAAACUAACUAGAGGCUGCACUCAACCUAGCAUAAAACAACAACGGCUAAGGAGAAGAAUGGCUGUGACGAGAAGCACACAACAAGUUCCCCGUGUCUCUCAAUCGCAUGGGAUGCUAUUUGGCUCCCAUUCAAAGGCCAGAUCAGCAACAUGGUAAUCAACAUGCUUUGUCUUUAUUCGUUCAUCUCUUCAACUUUGCAACAACUAUAGGUGGUACUAUCAUGUUUAGGCUAUGCUACCGCAUCUACAUUUUAUAACAUGGUUUGGGUAAGUCCACAUAUAGGUUAUUUAUACUUUCCUUUAUCCUUUUGGCACUACCUUAUAAUAAUGUUCCAAUAGUAAAGAAUGCCUACAUAUGAUUUAUUGGAUCUGCUGAGGGAGCAUGUAGUUCUUAUCAAUGGCGGAGAAGGGAGAAAAAUUAAGAUGGGGCAAAUUUAAAUGAAGUAUCAAAAUGAAUGUAUGAUACAAUAUCAAAGUCAUUGCACACCAUAUUUCCGUAUGAUGCUAGGCCCAAUCACCAAUUUCAAUAGGAAUAUACACAUAUUGAGAUUGAACUUUUAAUAUAAUUUGUCAGAUUUUUAAUGAAAUCUUGCUUAAUUUUACUGAUCAAGAAUUUUACCCCACACAAUGGUGAUUUACCCUUCCUCUUGUGACCAGCAGCCCAGAAACGUCGUCGUGUUGUUGCGCUCCGAUCGCCCACACAAUGCAUGCUCAUGUGUGCCCACGCUGUAUGGAUCCCGCACAUUGUGUCGUCAUGUUUUAGUCUCUUACCAAUCAUGUAACUAUGGACCGCGUUGCUGCAUGGCUAAUCCAUGCAUCGUUCGCCACGUUUUCUUUUUUCAAUAGAAAUGCAUCGUCCGUGCCUAUGUAAUUGAUAACAUUUUGCUCGACUAGUUUCACUUACAUGGUCCGACCGGAAACAAUAACUCACACAUAUCCAUGUGCCGAACAAGAGGCUAUACUCAGCCUAACAUAUAGAACAAUAGUGAGUAAGGAGAGGAAGGACGACACCAAGAAGCACACAACAAGUUCCUGGCGUCUCUCAAUCCCACAGGAUGCUACUGGGCUCCCAUCCAAAGACCAGAUCAGAAACAUGGUCAUCAACCUACUCUCUAUUCCCUUAUCUCGUCCACUUUGCAAUAACUAUAGGUACUACUCUCAUGUUUGCUCUAUGCUACUGCAUCUAUCUUUUAUAACAUGGUUUGGCUAGGUACACAUGUAGGCUCUUUACACUUUCUCGUGUCAUUCUGGCAUUAUAGUAAUGUUCUAAUAAAAAAUGUUACAUAUCAUUUAUUGCAUAUGUGAGGUAGCAUGUAGUUUUUAUUAGUGCCAGGCGAUAGAGAAAAUUUAAUGUGAGGUAAAGUUAAAUAAGGUAUCAAAAGGAAAGUAUGAUACAACAUCAAAAUAAUCUAUACACACCAGUCCACUAGGCCCAUCAUAUCUCGUUUUAUUUUCCCAUAGGCUCGACUUCUGAUGGCAUUUCCAAUAUAUACGACACUUAAGGCGCCUCUUAAAGGCCCUCCGAUACAGGGCGCAAUCCUGUGUAGCCUAGGUCUUUUAGGGCCAUUUCUUUUGGAAGCUAGUUCAACAUUUUUCAAAUACUUAUUCAACAUUUUUCGAAAUCUAGUUCGAUAUUUUUCAAAUACUUAUUCAACAUUUUUCCCGAAUGCUUGAUUAACAUUUUUAAAUACUCGUACAACAUUUUUAAAAUACUUGUUCAACAUUUUUGAAUUCUUGAUUAACAUUUUUAACAUAAUUGUUCAACAUUUUUCAAUUACUUAUUCAACCUUUUUUCAAAUGUUACCCCAUGUAACAUCUCAUUCUGAUGGCCGAUCAUUAUCGAUGAGUGAACUGGAUGGUUAAAUCUUGUUUAGAGACUUACGGAGGAUAAAACUUUGGUGCCAGAAGUGUUGCCCCAUUGAACAUCACAUUCUGAUGGUUGCUGACUAGCGAUGAGUGGACGGGAUAGUUAAAUCUCGUUUAGGGACUGACGAAGGCUAACAUAUCCCAAGAACUAGAUGUUUUCAUAUGGAAUCUACAUAGCCACGCUUGUUUUCGAAAAACAUCCAUCCAUGUAUGUGGACAUGGUAAGUAUUCUUUUGGCACCUAUGUAGUGAGGUUUUCUAAUCAAUGACAAUCUGACCAAAAGGAACUGGAAUUGUAGUAAAAUGUGGUUUCUAUGGCAAAGACCAUGUGAUCUAGCAUUUCUUCUUGUCAUGCCUUUCACGGGUCCCUUAUAUAUGGUGAAGAAACUCAUGUGCCUUUUAACUUUCCUCCGCAGAUCCACCAACUACUAUUGCUAAUAUAUUCAUAAAUUGAUUUCUCACGGUGAACAUGCAUCUUAAGUCUCAAUUUCGACCGGUAAUAUCUCUCUCUUAUGUUGGAAAAUUUGAAACUGCCAAAAUUAUUUUGUGCAUGUUAUCCACAUGCUUUUGAACUAGACCCGUACCUGGUACUUACUUCAGUGUAUGGAAGCGUAGGAGCUUUUGGACCCUUGGUUUCUAUGGAAAUCUAGCAAUAGGAUGAGUAAUGCAUAAGUGCAUUAAGUUUUUCAUAUCAAUGAACCUUUUAUUACCUCCCAGGUUCUGCAUCCUAGAUGCAUGCAUCAAAACUCAUUACAAAGCUUAUUACAUCAUGAAUAUCCAGAACAGACACAACCAAAAAACAUUAGCUUGAAAAGAAAGAUUACUCUGUAAGCUAAGAAAUCUAUCACUAGCAUGCCGACCUAUAAUCGGGACAUAAAUUCUAUGUUAAUCUAUUUGAGCCGCUUGGCACCAAGUUUCAUCUACCCCUUGUUCUACUCCUUUUGUAACAACACCCGAGACCGCAUCUAAUUGUUAAACAUGCUAAGAACCAAGAUUUCGAUGGAUACUUUGAGGUGGUGUGACAUUGAAUGGUAAAUAUAUAGCAAUGCCACACACCACGAGAUGAAGUACACAAAAAAGAUGUGGGAAAUUUUUUUAUUCAUAGAAAAAUCUAUUGGGUGCGUCUCUGCCAUAUGGGAAAUCUCCAGGCUAAGUCCCGUCACAUGGUCCGACAGCCAAACAAUGACCUCCCGCACUUCCAUGCCCCGAACAUAAGGUUAUACUUAGCCUAGAAUAGAACAAUAAAUAGUAAGGAGAAGAAGGACGACAACUAGAAGCAAACAACAAGUUCCCAAUGUCUCUCAAUCCCACGGGAUGCUAUUGGGAUCCAAUCCAAAGACGAGAACAUAAACACGGUGAUCACCCUCCUUUGUCUCUAUUCCCUCCUCUCGUCAACUUUGCAACAGCUGUAGGUGGUACUCUCAUGUUUGCUCUGUGCUAUCGCAUCUACCUUUUAUAACACAGUCUGCCCAGGUCCACAUGUAGGCUCUUUACACUUUCUUUGGUCCUUUUGGCACUAUAAUAAUAUUGUGGGGGAACAUGUGGUUAUUAUCAAUGGUGGGGGAUAGAGGAAAAUCAAGGUGUGGGAAACUUAAAUAAAGUAUAAAAAUGAAAGUAUGAUACAAUAUCAAAGUAAUCAAUACACACUAUCUUUUAUAUGAUGCUAAGUUGAAUAACCAAUUUCAAUAGGAAUUUAAACAUAUUUAGAUUGGACUUUUAAUGGUAAUUUCUUUGCUUUUAAUUAAAUCUUACUUAACUUUACUGAUCGCAUUUUUUACCUAGGCAAUGGUGAUUUCCACUUCCUCUAGGCACCGGCAACCUAGAAAUGUCGCCGUGCUGCUACGCUCCCGUCGCCCGCGCAAUGAAUGCGGUAUGCGACCCUGCGAUCUGGAUCCCGUGUGUUGUGUCGUCGCGUUUUAGUCAUUGACCCACUGUGUGCCUGCCGGCCACGCUGCUGAUGGCUAAUCCAUCAUUUGUGACAUGUGUUCUUUUGAGUAGAAAUCCAUUGUUUGUGCCUACGUCAUUGAUAUCGUUCUAAUCGCUCGACAAGUUUAGCUAACAACUUUUAUUUCUCAGUUAAAAAAAACUUUUAUUUCUUGUGGCAAGGAUUCACUAAUAGCUCACCAACACCUAGGAGAAGAAUUCGGUUAUAUCCCGCUGCGAGCCUGUCAUUGGAUUCCCACUCCAAUGCGGGAUAUAGUGGGCCGGCCAGUCAACCCGCUGGAAAAAAAAAUCACGAAAGAAAAAUUCAACAUGCUAAUUAGGGCGAAGUGGGAAUCGUUCUCGGGAGCUCCCAUGUGCCGCAUUCAGCGGCAGAAUGCCGAGGCUUCGCACAGGGCAGCCCCAACUAGGCCGACCCACGCAGGUUGCGUGCGUUGGCAAAAAUCAUCAGCUGC